Molecule: non-coding RNA, 353 nt
Organism: Homo sapiens (human)
Lineage: Eukaryota; Metazoa; Chordata; Mammalia; Primates; Hominidae
Source: the annotation of a RefSeq genome assembly
AUGGACUGGACCUGGAGGAUCCUCUUCUUGGUGGCAGCAGCAACAGGUGCCCACUCCCAGGUGCAGCUGGUGCAAUCUGGGUCUGAGUUGAAGAAGCCUGGGGCCUCAGUGAAGGUUUCCUGCAAGGCUUCUGGAUACACCUUCACUAGCUAUGCUAUGAAUUGGGUGCGACAGGCCCCUGGACAAGGGCUUGAGUGGAUGGGAUGGAUCAACACCAACACUGGGAACCCAACGUAUGCCCAGGGCUUCACAGGACGGUUUGUCUUCUCCUUGGACACCUCUGUCAGCACGGCAUAUCUGCAGAUCUGCAGCCUAAAGGCUGAGGACACUGCCGUGUAUUACUGUGCGAGAGA